Molecule: transfer RNA, 86 nt
Filed under: Acidobacteriota bacterium
Lineage: Bacteria; Pseudomonadati; Acidobacteriota
Also listed under: 2 other names
Description: tRNA-Leu
Rfam family: tRNA
About the family: Transfer RNA (tRNA) molecules are approximately 80 nucleotides in length. Their secondary structure includes four short double-helical elements and three loops (D, anti-codon, and T loops). Further hydrogen bonds mediate the characteristic L-shaped molecular structure. tRNAs have two regions of fundamental functional importance: the anti-codon, which is responsible for specific mRNA codon recognition, and the 3' end, to which the tRNAs corresponding amino acid is attached (by aminoacyl-tRNA synthetases). tRNAs cope with the degeneracy of the genetic code in two manners: having more than one tRNA (with a specific anti-codon) for a particular amino acid; and 'wobble' base-pairing, i.e. permitting non-standard base-pairing at the 3rd anti-codon position.
Source: RNAcentral
GCGAAAGUGGCGGAAUUGGUAGACGCGCUGGUUUCAGGAGCCAGUGGUUCACAGCCGUGGGGGUUCGAGUCCCCCCUUUCGCACCA